CCUUACUUAUGUCUCCUUCCCCUUAACUGAGCCAAAACAAAAUAGCCAAAGAAGUGUUACAAACCAACAAAAAGGAUCUUUCUCGGUAACUCUGAAAUUUUAUAUCCAAUACAUAUAACACAUUUGUUGAAUUGUCACCUACAUUAUUCUGUUCCACACGUGAUGACAACUAAUAGACAAGAUCAGAAUGCUCUGGUUUUGACUAAUGAGUGAGAGCAGAGAAUUUAAACCUAAACUUCAAAACUAAAUUGAGCAAAGGAAUCUUUGAUUGUCUGUACAUUGCUAAUUUUCGUACUCAACUGACUCCAAAGGUUGAAAAGAUUAUAUAUAAACACAUCUAUGAUUGUAAAAAUUUUGCCUUAAACAAAAGGGCACAGCACUGCAAUAAAUUAUAGCAACUUAAAAGGGAUAAUUCCUCACAAUUCGAUCACCUACCCAACUUAACCCAAAGAAGAAGCACGAAGGGAAACUUAGCCAGUUAGAAUAGAAUUCAAUGACGAUGAAAUUCAACAUAAUACGAUACAGUGAGGUUAAUGUUUAAACAACAUAAUAAUGCUAGGGAAUGUACCUAUUCACACAACUAAUCAUCUCAGUUGUUAUUCCAAAUAAAAAACCUAACCACAAACAAAUGGGUUCAAAUUGUACAUAGAAGGCAACAGAAAUUAAUGAUAGUUUCCAAACACAUACCUAUUAAACAAAGAUAACCACAAUUAGUGAUAUGAAAGAUAGAACCGACAGUUUACUGAAAGAAAAAAAUCGGGGAUGAAUGAACAAUUAUAGGUAAAUCAAGUGAACAAGUCACAGAAAAAUUUACCCCAAUAGAUGAAACUUUUCAUAGUAAAAACUCAAAAGAAACGACUUAGAGAAUAGAGUUGAGGAAAACCUAUGACCUGAAACCCGCGAGUGUUGGAAUAUCCCGAGCUCGUGUGAGGUAAUGAGAGAGAAAG
RNAcentral lists this long non-coding RNA (947 nucleotides) under Olea europaea subsp. europaea. The record is from RNAcentral. Lineage: Eukaryota; Viridiplantae; Streptophyta; Magnoliopsida; Lamiales; Oleaceae.